AGUGAACGCUGGCGGUAGGCCUAACACAUGCAAGUCGAACGGCAGCACAGUAAGAGCUUGCUCUUACGGGUGGCGAGUGGCGGACGGGUGAGGAAUACAUCGGAAUCUACUUUUUCGUGGGGGAUAACGUAGGGAAACUUACGCUAAUACCGCAUACGACCUACGGGUGAAAGCAGGGGAUCUUCGGACCUUGCGCGAUUGAAUGAGCCGAUGUCGGAUUAGCUAGUUGGCGGGGUAAAGGCCCACCAAGGCGACGAUCCGUAGCUGGUCCGAGAGGAUGAUCAGCCACACUGGAACUGAGACACGGUCCAGACUCCUACGGGAGGCAGCAGUGGGGAAUAUUGGACAAUGGGCGAAAGCCUGAUCCAGCCAUACCGCGUGGGUGAAGAAGGCCUUCGGGUUGUAAAGCCCUUUUGUUGGGAAAGAAAAGCAGCAGGUUAAUCCCCCGCUGUUCUGACGGUACCCAAAGAAUAAGCACCGGCUAACUUCGUG
Molecule: ribosomal RNA, 492 nt
Filed under: uncultured bacterium
Lineage: Bacteria
Description: partial 16S ribosomal RNA
Rfam family: Bacterial small subunit ribosomal RNA
Source: RNAcentral